RNAcentral lists this unclassified non-coding RNA (391 nucleotides) under soil metagenome. Its description in RNAcentral is "partial contains 5.8S ribosomal RNA, internal transcribed spacer 2, and large subunit ribosomal RNA". The stretch from base 1 to 122 matches the Rfam family "5.8S ribosomal RNA", at positions 35 to 154 of the family's 154-position model. The record is from RNAcentral.
GAUGAAGAACGUAGCGAAAUGCGAUACUUGGUGUGAAUUGCAGAAUCCCGUGAACCAUCGAGUCUUUGAACGCAAGUUGCGCCCGAAGCCAUUAGGCCGAGGGCACGCCUGCCUGGGCGUCACACGUCGUUGCCCCCCCAUCUACUCCUUCGGGAUUGCGGGGGGCGGAUGAUGGCCUCCCGUGCGCCUCGCCGCGCGGUUGGCAUAAAUGCCAAGUCCUCGGCGACGCACGCCACGACAAUCGGUGGUUGCGAAACCUCGGUUGCCCGUCGUGUGCGGUCGUCGCGCAUCGAGGGCUCGAAAAAAUUGCCAGGUUCCGGCUCGGCUUUCAACGCGACCCCAGGUCAGGCGGGGUUACCCGCUGAAUUUAAGCAUAUCAAUAAGCGGAGGA